RNAcentral lists this long non-coding RNA (863 nucleotides) under Cricetulus griseus (Chinese hamster). RNAcentral describes it as "lncRNA (ENSCGRG00015034122.1)". The record is from RNAcentral. Lineage: Eukaryota; Metazoa; Chordata; Mammalia; Rodentia; Cricetidae.
UGGAACCUUGAGAAUGUGUCUAUAGUAUGAUGCAAAUAUUUCAAAUUUCCAAAUUCUGCAAAGUGAAAGAUGUCCAUCUGCCAGAUCUCAUUCCUCUGAAUGCCUUUAGGAUUACAGCCUGCUGGUAGUGGAGUUUGUUUAUAAAAUGAACAAAUAGGACAGCGUCUCAUUAUCUCCUUGGAUUGUUGCCAAGUAAUGGAGAAGUCCUUUUUUAAACCUUUGCUAUUUACAUGAUGUUUCUUAUGAAAUUCUGAGGCUUUUAAAACAAUUCCAAUUAAUAUAUGAUCAGUCUCAUCAUUGCCUUGUGCUAGUGGGCCUGGCAGACCCAUAUGGGAUCUGAUAUGUCUAAUGAAUAUAGGAUUACUUCUGUUUCUGAUUGUUUCCUGUAAUUGUAUAAACAAUGAGGUUAAUUCUGUAUCAUCAGGAAUGAAUUCUGAAGUCUAAAUGUGUAACAUGACUCUCUCUGCAUAUUGGAAAUCAGUAACUAUAUUAAGAGGUUCUGUAAAAUCCAUGAGCACCAUGAGAAUUGCAUAUAAUUCUGCCUUCUGUACAGAUGUAUAUGGACUUUGAACUACUUUACUUACCUCACCUGCUUCAUAACCUGCCUUACCUGAUUUUUUGGCACCAGUGUAGAAGAUAAACCGAAAGUCUGUACCCAACUUCUUAGUAGCUGAACAUCUCUGAGCUCCCAGAAGCAAAAAUGUUGCGAACCACUGACCUUCACACUCCUGGUGGUCCUCGGGAUAUCCCUAAGAUCAAUAUACAAAAAUUUACUUCUGUGUAUUUAGUAAUGCUUUAAUAAUAAAAAAAUGAAGACCAGACUAAUAUCAUUUAUUAUAAACUAAGAAUAAACUUAACAAAAA